UGGACAGAUUAUUGUAUUCGACUGUAUUCACGGCAUGAAACAGGGGAUUACACUGUCUUUAAACGGAAAGUGAAUCAAUUAACAUAAUAUACUCCU
This is a microRNA precursor of Nicotiana attenuata, 96 nucleotides long. It matches the Rfam family "MIR6152 microRNA precursor family". The record is from Rfam. Lineage: Eukaryota; Viridiplantae; Streptophyta; Magnoliopsida; Solanales; Solanaceae.